This is an RNA transcript of Cydia pomonella (codling moth), 5453 nucleotides long. RefSeq lists it as uncharacterized. The transcript is spliced from 3 exons. NCBI's taxonomy places the organism in Eukaryota, Metazoa, Arthropoda, Insecta, Lepidoptera, Tortricidae. The record is from RefSeq and is a predicted model, not a curated record.
UCUACGAAGAUUGCAUGCGUUUGCUGCUGUUGACUAUAAGUAUAGCGGACUAGCAGACCUGCGAUAAUUAUCAUUGUAUUUCCAACUGACUUUUAAAAGGAGGAGGCUCUCCAUCCGGCUGAUUUAAUUUAACGAGAUAACGACAAACCCAAAAAGAUAGAGUUAUGAUUUUAACAGUUUUUGUGUGCAUGUCUUUGAUGUGUCUAAAGAAUAAAUUACUCUUGAUGAAUUGGAGCUGCUCCUAAAAAACAUUACACCGUCAAUGUUUACUUAUAAGUAUUAUGAUGAUAGCUUUAUAGUCGUUCGUAAGAUAUUAGCAUGCUGGUAUAACCUGUAAAGUACUAAUAGCAGAAUAAGCAACCAAUUGCCACCUACCACGUAAAAACACUAUACUUAUUCUUGACAAAUAAAUACUGUAGUUAGGUAGAUACUUUGUUAAUUAUAUUCCAUAUCUGAUCAUUAGAUUUAUUUGUUGAAAUUUGUUGAAAAAGAGGACCUGUUCUAGUGCUCAUUAAGAUCGUAUAAUGAUCAACGGAACUCCAUAAUAAACCAAUUUACCUAUCCUAGUCAUGUUUGGAACAAUUGAAAUAAGAUGCACAAGUAUAUGUGAGUAAUAAAUGAUUUCAAAGGUAUUUUCACUACUCUUAAGUUAUUAUUAUUAUUAUACUUGUUGUAUUCCGAGGUUAUAAGCAUUAUUUGUUAUAAGUUAACUAUAGUCGAGCACGACGUUCUAAUAUUUAGAAUUAAUGGUUUCGUAGCCAAAAUGGCAAUAAAGAUCCAUCCGUCCGUCCGUCCGCCCGUUCGUCCGUCCGUCCGUCCGUUCGUUCGUCGGGGGUCCGUCCGUCCGUCCGUCCGUUCGUUCGUCGGGGGUCCGUCCGUCCGUCCGUCCGUUCGUUCGUCGGCCGUCCGUCCGUCCGUCCGUCCGUUCGUUCGUCGGCCGUCCGUCCGUCCGUCCGUUCCCAGCUGUCCGUCCUUUGUCUGUCCGUCCGUCCGUCCGUCUGUCUGUCUGUUUGUCUAUUUGUAUGUUAGAGCCAUUAGACUAGGAGUGUAUAUAGGUAUAAUAAUGAUAAUGACAUUUAGGAUGUAGGUAGUAAAAACGUAUAAGCUACUCUUUUUUACAGAGGCAACCAGGCGUACGGCCCGGCCCGUCCGAUAGUUUAGUUUAGUUUAUUCAUAUCACAUACUUACAGGUUUCAUUUUAUUAAAUUAGCUUAACCGUUAUAAAACGAUUGUUUAGAUACUUAUGCAAAGUAAGAUCCAGAAGAAGAAAAUGAAAAAUGAAUUACUAGUUUUGAAUUUUGACAAAGUAUUUAUAUAAGCACCAGGUUUUAGUAAUGUUACAGCAAGUCGGCAAUCUACGACGGUCGCUUAGCUUACGAGUAGUUGCUGGUGAUUCUACCCACAAAACUGCAAAUCCCGGGUUCGAUUCCCGAUAAGGGCAUUUAUUAGCAUGAUGAACACGGAUAUCUUUAUUUGUGUAUGUAAGCCCAUACAAGCUUUUAUUUAACUUGCUCUGUUAGUAUGUAAGUUUGUUAGUUAGGGUGGGUCAAAUCUUGGAAACUAAAAUUGACCCACUUCCCGAUUCCCGAUUAAGCUGAAGAUUUGCAUACAUAAUAACAUAUAAGUCGGGUGACAAUGCAAUAUUAUGGUACCAUCGAGCUGAUCUGAUGACGGAUACAGGAGGUGGCCAUAGAAACUCUGUGAUGAAACAACGGAACUAUAUUGUGUUUGGGGUUUUUAGAAUUAUCUCGAUGAGUAUUUAGUUACCUAUGGUAAGAAAAGUACAGUCAGCGACAAAGGUUUGUACCCAAAAAGGAUAAAAACUUUUUUUUUGGCAAAAACUUACCUAUUUAUAAAACAGUUUCGUUACUUAUAUACUGACAGACAACACAUACAGCUUAAUAAAUCGUUGAAGUUAAAACUAUGAAAUUUAAAACAUUACAUAUAUAGUACAAAUGGUGUAGAGGUGCCCUAAGGUAGGAUUUUCUGAAAUUUAACCCUUAAGGGGUAAAAAGGGGCUUAAGUUAUUUAAGUUAUCUUUAAUUAUGUGAGUGUAUUUUUCAGUUAAUAUAUAAGUGAUUGUGACUGAUAAUGUUUUUUAUUUUCAUAACUGCAAAUCUGCUUUCAACUGGCCUGGAUAUACAAGGAGACAAAUCAUGAAUGGACCAGAGCAACCAUGUUGAGCUACCUUCUUAUAAUAAUUAAGAAGUGGAGGGCGAUCCUUAUUUUAACAGUCGGAAACUUAUGCCUGACGAAACCGAGACGUUAUAUAAAAUGCAUUUAUGACGAAAAGCUCUUCAUUAGUUUGGCUACGGCGGUGAUCAGGUGUCAUCGGAGCGAUGUUGUCAAAUUGAAACGGAGAUAAUUUAUAAUUAUAUUGGUGACAAUAUUGGCUUGUUUUUAUUUUGUAAGUAGGUGUGUAGUUUUAACCUAAAUACUUAUUUAAAUAAUCUUCAGAGUGGUACUGUCAGCAUCUAUCAUAGUGGAUAAAACAACGCGCCAAAAGUAUCUGCCACCAUCGAACACUUUUCCAAUAUAUCUGUACAGUUCGCGUUCAAAAGUAUUUUGUCGCAGUUGAUUUUUUAGGGUUCCGUACCCAAAGGGUAAAGCGGGACCCUAUUACUUAGACUCCGCUGUCCGGCCGUCCGUCCGUCUGUUCGUCCGUCUGUCCGUCUGUCCGUCCGUCCGCCCGUCUGUCCGUCCGUCCGUCCGUCCAUCUGUGCGUCCUUCCGUCCGCCCGUCCGUCUGUCCGUCCGUCCGUCUGUCCGUCUGUCCGUCCGUGCGUCUGUCUGUCUGUCCGUCCGUCCGUCUGUCACCAGGCUGUAUCUCAUGAACCGUGAUAGUGAGAAAGUUGAAAUUUGCACAGAUAAUGUAUUUCUGUUGCCGCUAUAGCAACAUAUACCUACUAAAAAACAAAAUUAAAUAAAUAUUUAAGGGGCCUCCCAUACAACAAACAUAUUUUUUUGCCGUUUUAUAGAUAAUUGUACGGAACCCUUCGUAGAGUCCAACCCGCACUUGGCCGGUUUUUUGUGUAUAGAGACGUAUCUCUUUAGGUUAAGUUAUAUGUAAAGCAUUUGUGAUACACCAGCGAUGGUUCUUAGAUGGUUGUGAGGUGACAUUGUUGUAAUUAUCACUGUUUUUUUUUAAUUUAAACUUAUAGUACUUAGUAUUAGCUUCUUAAAGACUACACAUGCGUAGGCAUGUAUGUCCAAUGUGUGUAUGAAUGUAUGUAGAAUGAUAGCUACUUUUGAUGCUGACUAUACGUAUAAGUAGCGGCUGUAGAGUUCGGAACAUUUGACUAGGUAUAUCUAAUAAGUGUAAUGUUAAAUGUAAAUCCCUACUAAUAUUAUAAAUGCGAUUAGUAUCUAACUCUGAUUCAAAUGAAGUUCAAUUCAGGGAGUCCUCGGAGAUAGGAUGUAGGUUAGUUUUAUCCUGAAAUCCUGGCUACAGGAGAUGAGAAGGGAAUAUUGGAUCGCGUACGCAAUACAUAUUUUUAACGAACUACCUCUUAGCCAAUUUGAAACAUUGCAAAAAAAACCCUUUCAUUAUAAUAAGUACCUAAUUAUGUUACUAAUAAAUAAAUAAAUAAAUAAAUAUUAUAGGACAUUAUUACACAAAUUGACUAAGUCCCUCAGUAAGCUCAAUAAGGCUUGUGUUGUAGGUACCUAGGCUUGUGUUGUAGGUACUAAUUAAGCCUUAUUUAUAUCUAUUGAUUUUGUAUCAUAAUGUAAAGCGAAGUAUUUGCCGUGCACGUAGGUAUGUACGAGUAUGGAAUCAUAUCGUUAAGUAUGUAUGUGUGUUCGUAUAUUACAUGUGACGAAGAUGUUGAUAUUUGUAAGAAGGAUCCCUACAAACUACUUUAAACUGAGACGAAGACUAAGCCUAAUUUAAGCCUAAGCGACCCUAUCUAAGAAGUAGGCGGUCCCAGGUUCGAAUCCUGGUAAGAAAAUAUAGAUGUUACAAUCCACUUACUGCACCACUUAGCAGAAUUGAAACUAAGAUAACUGUUUGUAGCCUUUUGGAUAGAAACCCUGGCUAAGAGAAAAGCGACUCUGGGUUCGAAUCCUUGUUAGAAAACUAAUUUAUAUGUGGAGACUUGAGAGGUUUUUAUUGGACGUACUUUCGCCACUCUUAGAAAUUAAAUAAACUUCGAAAAUUUAAUCAGUGUGAAUAAAAAAGUAUACAUAAUAUAUACUGAAUAGGCAUUCUUCGCAAACUGAAUAGAAUUGACCAGAAUAGGUUUUUUUACUGAUCAUGUAAACUUGACAAAGUUAUCUUAUUAAACACGUCCAUAUGUUGCUUAUGCAUGUAUGUAUGUAGUUGCGCUUUUGAUUUAACUCCCGUCUUCCAUUACGAUGGUACAAAAUACAAACGGUAAGCUUUACAUAAUAUGGAUACCCGUUAUCAAAAUUCUAAAUAGCCCCACAAGUGGGUUGGUCUAAUAGCAUUUUGCGAGUCGCAUUCCAAGUUACAGUGGUAUAUAGGUAUACAAGGAAACAAUACCAAAGGUAUUAGAUGUAAAAAAUAUAUAUUAGGGCAUUACCUUACAACUUCCUAAAGUGGAGAUGAGUUUGUUCUUGUCGAUCACACGGUCUCAAGUAUCAUUGUGUAGGUAAUCCAUUUCCCGCCCAGGAGCCUAAAGUAUAAUUGAGUGCUAGUCAAAGUUUAGAACUCAGAAUUAAAAAAGGUUUCUUUCUCUCGAAAAGGCGUCGCCAUUGUUUAAUAUCUAUUUCAUUUUGUUUAUUUUUUUACGAUAAUCUACACACUUCUACCAUUCUUACUAUAUAUAUUAUAAAUAUUAUAAAUGCGAUAAUAACUCAUAUCACUCGUCUUGCUUAUGGAAAAAAUCCAGAAAGCGUUUCUGCGAUUCUUAUAUAAAAAGGUUUACGGGUAUUACCCAUAUUUGUACCCAUCAAAGUUCCUGCUUGGCGUUUUAGGGUUUAAUUCCUUAGAGGUGAGAUGUAACUACAGGCUAUUGACUACUGUAUGUAACGUCUUACGGUGGAACUCAGACUGGCCUGAACUGGUUGCACAGCUCGUACGCCUGUUCGUUCCAUCUGUGGCUAAGGCCCAAUUUAAUUUCCGACCACGAAUUCGUCACCUAUUAGCGGUGCCUAAAACACGCACUAUGUCCCAUGGCAAAUCACCACUUGUCCGCGCUCUACAAUAUAUCGCGCUCCUCGCAUCAGCACCGGAAUGUAAUGUAUUUGCAAGUAGUAGGAUGGAUAUGUGUAAAGAAUGUAUGAAGUUCUGUGAGACGAUGGAUAAGCGAGAAUCUUCUGUUUUUUAUUUGUUUUUCUUUCUUACAUUUGUUCUCUUUUUCCUUUCUAGACUGUAUCAUGUACCUAGUUUGUAUACAUACUGUCUAUUAAAAAUUUCACAGUGUAUUAGUUUGCUGUAAUGCUGUGUAAAUUUUUUGAAUCAAUAAAAUAAAAAAUAAACUCUGUGUAAAA